UACGGGGGGGGCAAGCGUUGUUCGGAAUUACUGGGCGUAAAGGGCUCGUAGGCGGCCAACUAAGUCAGACGUGAAAUCCCUCGGCUUAACCGGGGAACUGCGUCUGAUACUGGAUGGCUUGAGUCCGGGAGAGGGAUGCGGAAUUCCAGGUGUAGCGGUGAAAUGCGUAGAUAUCUGGAGGAACACCGGUGGCGAAGGCGGCAUUCUGGACCGAAACUGACGCUGAUGCGCGAAAGCCAGGGGAGCAAACGGG
Molecule: ribosomal RNA, 253 nt
Filed under: uncultured bacterium
Lineage: Bacteria
Description: partial 16S ribosomal RNA
Rfam family: Bacterial small subunit ribosomal RNA
Source: RNAcentral